Molecule: long non-coding RNA, 2729 nt
Organism: Siniperca chuatsi (mandarin fish)
Lineage: Eukaryota; Metazoa; Chordata; Actinopteri; Centrarchiformes; Sinipercidae
Exons: 2
Source: RefSeq, a predicted model, not a curated record
CACGGAUCUUCAGGCUUAGCUGAAACGGCUCCAUGCUCCGGGGCGCCAGUGAUGAUGGAGCCGAGCCACGGAAGAGUGGGAUCAUUGUCCAGUUCUGGAGUGGAGCAGUCAGGGGAGUGAGAAGGGAUGGUCGCCGGAGCUGAGGACUACAAGGUGUUUUUCCUGGGCUGAGGCGACAGUGGUGAACUCCAGGAUGAGCUUGUUUUUUUCUCUGAGCUUAGCUUCCAGACAAGUGAUUCUUUUCUUCAGCUUUGAGACGUACCAGAGAGACGCUGAGGAGAAUCAACCUGCAACGAAAACGACACACUCACAGCCUACCCUGCCAGCUGUAUUUGAAGAAAGUAUGAUGCAAACUCAAAUGGUGCUAAGAAACUGAACAGGGCUGUAGCAGAUCUAUAUGCAUGGAUCAUAUUUGAUCAGAAGGUUGUCUGUUCAAACCCCCGGACCGGCAAGAUAAAUCUGGGUGGGGAAAACUGAAAAAGCAGUGCUUGCUCCUCCCCUACCUCACCACUUAGGUGCCCUUGAGCAAGGCCCUUAACCCCAACCACUCCAGUGAUAACAGGUAUGUCCUUCCUUCACAUAAUUAUUUAAUGUACACUGAAGUCCCUACCAUAUACAAUGAAACAAAAGACAAUCUUGGGGGGAAACCCUUCUUUUCAUGCACCGCUGACCUAUUGAUCAGCAGGGCCACAUCCACAUUCAUGGCAGUAAUCCUGGGACAUGCAGAGCUGGUGUUUGGGCUGCGUUGGGCUGGACAGGACAGUUUGAGGGAGACGUUGGAGGAGAUAGUACACGAAGCUGGACAUGUCAAAUAUGGCUGGUAUCACCACUGAUAAUGCCUCAGCAAGCAAGAAAGCUUUUCAGCAGGACUUCACACGGGUCCCCUGCUUUGGGCACAACCUGCACCUAGUCAUUAACAAGGGCCUGAAUGGAGUACUGUCGAGGUUGAGAAAGACAGUAUCUGCUUUUAGCAGGUCACCAAAGACGUUCCAACUGCUGAAGAAGAAACAAAGAGAUUUACAACUGCCCAAACACAGACUGAUCCAUGAUGAGUCCACAUGUUGGGGUAUGAAAUGGUGGAGGGACAGCAGCAAGCAGUGCUGUUUAAGUCUGUUCAGUUCUAGACGAUGAUCGGAAGAAAUGGCACCUCGUGCCUAAAGAUUCAGACAUCACAGUUCUUGGGGCUGUAAAAGAGGUAUCGAGCCCUGUCAGCUCUUUCACGGAUGCCCUUAGUGGUGAAAAACCCACCGCUCUCUCCUCUGGCCUACCCGUAAGUUGGAAAAUAUUUUCUACUUUGACAGUUGAGGAAAGUGACAGCAACCUAAAAUGUCAACUUUAAUCAAAUAUUUGAGGAGAUCUCAGACAAAGAUAUGAGGACAGGCAUCUGGAGCUGAUACUGAGCACAGCCGUUUCUUGGCCCAUAAGAUCUUAUGGACAAUGUCCAUUUACCGGAAAUAGGAAGCCAAAGUCAGCAAACACCCUCUCCAGGUGCCAAGCAACCCGCAAAGAAAACAAACAGAUCUGAAGGGACUGUUAACAAGCAUACGGGGGGGGUUGAACAUGGAGAGGAUGCAUCAUCCAGAGAAGAUGACGCAGAACUCAAAAAUGAGUUCACAAUAUACAAUAUAUGAAAAGAUGCCUGAACUCAGUGCAGAAGAGGACCCACUCACAUGGUGGAGGACAAAUGAGCUCAGCUUCAGAACAUGUAUUUAAUACGUCAGGGCUCAUUUGCAGUCCAGGAAGGGCCUGACUUACAGAGGAGCACAUCGACAUGCUGGUGUUCCUAGCAAAAAAUCUGAAAGAAACUACAGUAAUGGGUGUCACUCUCACUCACCUCUGUAGAGCAUGUCUGCAUAUAUAAGAAUAGUUAUUACUAACAUUUGAUGUUUUUUUUGUUUUUUUUACUCAUUUGUUACUUGAUGUUACGGGGAGCCCUGCAUGUGCAGUUUGCCUGUCGUCUCUGUCUGCCUCUCUCUCCAUCUCUCCUCUCUGGCUGGCUUUUUGGGAGUGGAGCACCUGAGAGGAGUUACUGAUCAAGGAGAGGUGAAAAGGAGGGGGGGAGCAGGGUGUGGGGACUCACACACACUUGCUGGCUGACAGCAGAGAAUACAACCCUCCAGGGACCAUUCUCCAGUUGUUUUUCCCCAGCAUGUUUUAGUGUGAGUGUUGUUAUUUUAGUUUUGGGAUCUUAUCUUAGUCUGGAGAUCACUGGUAGUCCAGUUAUCGGUUUUGGUUUAAUUCAGUUUCAGGUGUUUUUUUGUAUUUCUUUCUUUAGGUAGUCUAGGGGUAGAUCAGCUGGGUACGACAGCCCACUGCAUGGCUGGCUCAGUGAUUUUACUCACCUUUUGUUCUUUUUGGCUGGGAUCUCCAACCCCUUUUGUUUUCUUCCUUUGACCUUUGAGUAUGGUUAUUUUUCUUUAAAAAUAAAGCUUGUGGGUUUUUCUCUCAUGGAACUGGUCUUGGCGUCCUUCGUAUGUUUCGUUCUCCAGUCGAGCUUCUGGUAUUCAUAAGAUUGCACUGCUUUUCUUUUAUUUGCACUUUAGUGCCUUUUAAAUGUGUAUCGAUCUCAGAGUCUUGAACAUGUGCACUACCUCAAGAAGAAUAUUGUUUUUAAAUAUUGUUAAUGUUUGUCAUUCUGCUGUUCUCUGCUACUAGCCAAGAAUAGCCGUACCUUGUUGUCAUGUUGUAGUCUUGUUAUAUUUAUCUUUUAAUAAAAAUCUCAAAUUUUA